Molecule: ribosomal RNA, 465 nt
Filed under: uncultured bacterium
Lineage: Bacteria
Description: bacterial SSU rRNA
Rfam family: Bacterial small subunit ribosomal RNA
Source: RNAcentral
AUUGAACGCUGGCGGAAUGCUUUACACAUGCAAGUCGAGGGGCAUCACGGGUAGCAAUACCUGGUGGCGACCGGCGCAAGGGUGCGUAACGCGUGAGCAACAUGCCCUAUACAGGGGGAUAAUCCAGGGAAACUUGGUCUAAUAUCCCAUAGCAUUUAGAGGUGGCAUCACCAUUAAAUUAAAGCUUCGGUGGUAUAGGAUUGGCUCGCGUGACAUUAGCUAGAUGGUGGGGUAACGGCUCACCAUGGCUAUGAUGUCUAGGGGUUCUGAGAGGAAGACCCCCCAACUGGGACUGAGACACGGCCCAGACUCCUACGGGAGGCAGCAGUGAGGAAUAUUGGACAAUGGAUGGAAAUCUGAUCCAGCCAUGCCGCGUGCAGGAAGACGGCCCUAUGGGUUGUAAACUGCUUUUAAUGGGACAAUAAGGUCUACGAGUAGACCGAUGAGAGUACCAUAUGAAUAAGC